RNAcentral lists this ribosomal RNA (582 nucleotides) under uncultured bacterium. RNAcentral describes it as "partial 16S ribosomal RNA". It matches the Rfam family "Bacterial small subunit ribosomal RNA", at positions 355 to 935 of the family's 1533-position model. The record is from RNAcentral.
UGGGGAAUUUUGGACAAUGGGCGAAAGCCUGAUCCAGCAAUGCCGCGUGUGUGAAGAAGGCCUUCGGGUUGUAAAGCACUUUUGUCCGGAAAGAAAUCCUUGGCUCUAAUACAGUCGGGGGAUGACGGUACCGGAAGAAUAAGCACCGGCUAACUACGUGCCAGCAGCCGCGGUAAUACGUAGGGUGCAAGCGUUAAUCGGAAUUACUGGGCGUAAAGCGUGCGCAGGCGGUUUGCUAAGACCGAUGUGAAAUCCCCGGGCUCAACCUGGGAACUGCAUUGGUGACUGGCAGGCUAGAGUAUGGCAGAGGGGGGUAGAAUUCCACGUGUAGCAGUGAAAUGCGUAGAGAUGUGGAGGAAUACCGAUGGCGAAGGCAGCCCCCUGGGCCAAUACUGACGCUCAUGCACGAAAGCGUGGGGAGCAAACAGGAUUAGAUACCCUGGUAGUCCACACCCUAAACGAUGUCAACUAGUUGUUGGGGAUUCAUUUCCUUAGUAACGUAGCUAACGCGUGAAGUUGACCGCCUGGGGAGUACGGUCGCAAGAUUAAAACUCAAAUGAAUUGACGGGGUCAUAGCUGUUU